Molecule: ribosomal RNA, 497 nt
Filed under: uncultured bacterium
Lineage: Bacteria
Description: partial 16S ribosomal RNA
Rfam family: Bacterial small subunit ribosomal RNA
Source: RNAcentral
GAUGAACGCUGGCGGCGUGCCUAAUACAUGCAAGUCGAGCGAACAGACGAGGAGCUUGCUCCUCUGACGUUAGCGGCGGACGGGUGAGUAACACGUGGAUAACCUACCUAUAAGACUGGGAUAACUUCGGGAAACCGGAGCUAAUACCGGAUAAUAUAUUGAACCGCAUGGUUCAAUAGAGAAAGACGGUUUUGCUGUCACUUAUAGAUGGAUCCGCGCCGCAUUAGCUAGUUGGUAAGGUAACGGCUUACCAAGGCAACGAUGCGUAGCCGACCUGAGAGGGUGAUCGGCCACACGGGAACUGAGCCACGGUCCAGGCUCCUACGGGAGGCAGCAGUAGGGAACCUUACGCAAUGGGCGAAAGCCUGACGGAGCAACGCCGCGUGAGUGGUGAAGGUCUUCGGAUCGUAAAACUCUGUUAUUAGGGAAGAACAAAUGUGUAAGUAACUAUGCACGUAUUGACGGUACCUAAUCAGAAAGCCACGGCUAACUACGUG